RNAcentral lists this ribosomal RNA (427 nucleotides) under uncultured bacterium. RNAcentral's name for it is "bacterial SSU rRNA". It matches the Rfam family "Bacterial small subunit ribosomal RNA", at positions 917 to 1344 of the family's 1533-position model. The record is from RNAcentral.
GGGCCCGCACAAGCGGUGGAGCAUGUGGUUUAAUUCGAUGCAACGCGAAGAACCUUACCUGGUCUUGACAUACACAGAAUCUUGUAGAGAUAUGAGAGUGCCUUCGGGAAUUGUGAUACAGGUGCUGCAUGGCUGUCGUCAGCUCGUGUCGUGAGAUGUUGGGUUAAGUCCCGCAACGAGCGCAACCCUUGUCCUUAGUUACCAGCGGGUUAAGCCGGGAACUCUAAGGAUACUGCCAGUGACAAACUGGAGGAAGGCGGGGACGACGUCAAGUCAUCAUGGCCCUUACGACCAGGGCUACACACGUGCUACAAUGGUACUUACAAUGGGAUGCAAAGAGGCGACUCUUAGCUAAUCCCUAAAAUGUACCUCAGUUCGGAUUGUACUCUGUAACUCGAGUGCAUGAAGCUGGAAUUGCUAGUAAUCG